GUAGGGUCCAAGCGUUAUCCGGAAUCACUGGGCGUAAAGCGCGCGUAGGUGGAUUGUUAAGUGCGGUGCGAAAUCCUGUGGCUCAACCAUAUGGACUGUAUCGCAUACUGGCAAUCUAGAGGACAUGAGAGGCAAGUGGAAUUACUGGUGUAGCAGUGAAAUGCGUAGAGAUCAGUAGGAACACCAAUGGCGAAGGCAGCUUGCUGGCAUGUAUCUGACGCUAAGGCACGAAAGCGUGGGGAGCGAACAGG
Molecule: ribosomal RNA, 251 nt
Filed under: uncultured bacterium
Lineage: Bacteria
Description: partial 16S ribosomal RNA
Rfam family: Bacterial small subunit ribosomal RNA
Source: RNAcentral